RNAcentral lists this long non-coding RNA (289 nucleotides) under Volvox carteri. Its description in RNAcentral is "long non-coding RNA (VCAR_LNC002331)". The record is from RNAcentral. Lineage: Eukaryota; Viridiplantae; Chlorophyta; Chlorophyceae; Chlamydomonadales; Volvocaceae.
GGAGAACGUGUCCAGCGAGGCACUGGAGGCUGCUCGUGUGGCUGCCAACAAGUACAUGGUCAAGAAUGCCGGCAAGGAAGCCUUCCACCUGCGUGUGCGCGUGCACCCCUUCCACGUGCUGCGCAUUAACAAGAUGCUUUCGUGCGCUGGAGCCGAUAGGCUCCAGACCGGUAUGCGUGGCGCCUUCGGCAAGCCCACGGGCACUUGCGCGCGUGUGCAGAUCGGCCAGGUGCUCAUGAGCAUCCGCUGCCGUGACCAGCAUGGCGCUGUGGCCGAGGAGGCGCUGCGC